CUUUUUUGUAUUUGUAUUGAUCUGACAUUGUAAAGACCCUGUAAACAGUAUUAAGCAUGCAUGUGAGGAAAUGCAUUCUGAGCCAUCUUUGGCUGUCAGAGAGAAGAGGAGGAGGCUCGUCAGAGGCUCCUGGAAGAGCAGCAGAGGCUGGAGAGAGAGCAGCGAUUCCAGAGAGAAGAGACUGAGCGGCAGGAGAGGAAGAAGGUAUGAUUACUAUGAGCGAAGUACAGUGUGCUGAAUGUAGGUCAGCCAGGAAAAAGGAAGGGGGGGGGGGGGUUAACUUCAGUGGUAUCCCAUCUAUCACAUAAAAUAUAACCCACUGUAUAACACAUUACAUUCAUCUCCACAGCGACUAGAAGAAAUUAUGAAAAGGACAAGGAAAACAGACGCUGCUGAGAAGAAACCAGCUUCACCCAGUAUCAUAAUGAAAGACAGCCUGCCAAAUGAGAACAUGAAGCCCAUUCACAGUCUGCCAUUAGAAGAAGUUAUCAAGCUGCCUGGUCCAGUGAAGGCCUCUAAGAUGACUUUAGGCAAUGAGGAGGACAUCCUUCCUGCAGUGGCCUUCAAAGAGCGCAGGUCUCUCCGCACACUUACAGGCCUGGAAGAGAUCCAAGCUCAUCAGCGAGCAGAAGUCAUCUAAAGAUAAAGAUAAAAGAUCACAAGAUCUGCAAGGAACCUGCAAGCCUGUACUUUCUUUAUGGAAGAACACAGAUGCAGAAUAGCUUCACCUGCACUUUAAGGAAUCCUCUACGACCCAUUUCACACAUAUGAAGUAAGACAGAAGUGUCUGGCCCCCGAGGCUGUGCUGCCUCGGUAUGUUUUGAGGCCGUGCCGCAUGUUCAGUUCAUGCUCUGUGGGAAUGUGGUAAGGCACAUUUCAAACUAAUGGCUUCACAAUGUUUUACAGUGCAAUGACCUUCACCUAAAGCCUGAAUAUGCCAUAGGUGUAGAUUUACCAUGUGAUGUUUGAGGUGUCGUGUUCAGAAAUGGUAACUGUUUUAUUUAUAAUCAAUAUAGGACUUAAUGAACAGACGUGUUACUCACAAAACAAUCACGAGACAUUUUUCCAAUAUCAGUAUUAAAAGGGAAUUUUAUUGAUUUUUCAAAAGUUCUACGUGAUUUAGUGGUUGAGAGGUAAACAAAGUCAUUCAGAGAUGCUCGAUGUGAAGUGGUUCACUGUAGAGAAACUAACCAACCAGGGGUCACAGUGUCUACAACACAAAUAUAGUCAUUUUAUUUGUUGUCCAAAAAUGAUCAGACGACUUACAAGUGUCCUCUGAGUUUUUGUAUGUAAAAAAUAUGGUAAAAUAGUGAUGAAUCUGAAAACAUAAGGUUUCUUGGGAGACUGUUAAAAACCUUGUAAAAAUCCCUGCAUGUUCUCCUACACUCUGAAUCUAAUGCAUUAAAAAGAAUACAUUUUGGGCCAAAACCUCAAGAUCUCACAAUUUUCAUUAUGCAAUGUUUCAGGCUUCAGACCAUGUAUCUGUUGCCAUUUAAGGUAACAACUGUCUAUGAGGUUUGGCAUUAAAUGCUUUAUAUGUCUGGUUCCUAUCACCACCACUGUAAACAAUUCUGACUCAGUAAGUUUCUCUAGAAUGGAACAUUUCACCCCAAACCUUUCUGAAUGAUUUUGUUUAAUGCAGACAUUUUGAGAAACUGGUGGAAUUCCCCUUUAAUAUAUAGGGCUCUACUUUGCAACGCAGCUACUUUGUCUUGUAUUGGUAUGAAACUGAAGUACUAUUGCAUCAGUUGUUCUUGCUGAGCUGUGCUUCUAAAGCCUGCUGCUGGGUCAGACGAUCCGAACUCAGCCACUUUCUCAGUUUCCUCCGACUUUCUUCAGUUUUGCAUUGCUGCUAUUUAGCUAUUCCAAAAUGAGACGUACUGUCCUGUUUUUUAUUUACCAAACCUUAAGCAUUUAGAAACUGUACUAUCCACCCUUUUUCUGAGGGUACUAGUACAAUCCUCAGCGAGUAUGUGCAAUUAUCUAAACUUAUGCAUAAAUAACACCAAGAAUAUGGAGUGUAGAUGUACACAAUCUAAUUAAAUAUUUUAUCGGUGUAAAUAAACACGCUUUGAAAGCAAACUGUGAGUGUAUUGGAAAAUUUCUGCUUCUCUAACUGUAAGUUAGACUCAUUUGACGUCUGUGGAGAACACUGUGAAAAAUGAUGUCUUUGCAAGUGAAAACUUAAAUCUAAGAUCAUUUAACUCCUUUCUUGACAUGUGCACUUGUUUUAAGUCAUUUUAUUCAUUUUAUUCAGUCAUAUUGUCUUAGUAUUGGUAGAUAGUUGACCUGGUUUGAUGGACUGAUGCUUGAAACAUGCCAAAUUAUCUGCC
Pygocentrus nattereri (red-bellied piranha) is the source of this 2333-nucleotide long non-coding RNA. Lineage: Eukaryota; Metazoa; Chordata; Actinopteri; Characiformes; Serrasalmidae. The record is from Ensembl.